This is a non-coding RNA of Megalopta genalis, 313 nucleotides long. Lineage: Eukaryota; Metazoa; Arthropoda; Insecta; Hymenoptera; Halictidae. The record is from RefSeq and is a predicted model, not a curated record.
UCCAAAAACAAAGUGGUGGAUCAAAUAUGGCGGAUGGGUUGUUGAAAAAUUGGGAAAUGAGAGAGGUUCCGUAGCUACGCGGGAAGGUCGAUCGACUACGAAGCCAAAGGUACUCUCACGGGACGGUUUCCCGUACGUUGACUCACAAAAGUGGUUGUAAUUGAAAAAAGUGCAACAUGAUGCAGCCAAUUUUUCAAGUGCAGCUGGAUGAAACUAUAAACUAUGGCUCCUGUAAAUUUGAAAGCAGGCCCUCAUAGGCCGCAAAAGUUUCGACUAUAACUUUACAGUAAAUGCGUUCCAUUUGCUUUCAUAA